UUCGCCGGCAUCACUUCAUCUUCUUCAAUUGAAAAAAAUUUCAAAAAAUGAAUCAAAAUAAGUUCACUGAAUUAUUACCGGGUCUACCCGAGGACAUUGCCCUCGAGUGUUUGACCCGGUUGCACUACUCAACUCAUGGAGUUGCAUCUCGUGUUUGCCGGAGAUGGUGUAGAAUUCUUCAAAGUAAAGCUUUCUAUUACCAUCGGAAACAAACGGGUUUUACCCAUAAAACUGCUUGUUUAGUACAAGCUUUGCCGUCUCCGGUUGAAUCAAAACCCACCGGACAACCCAGGUUUGCGAUCUCUGUUUUCGAUUUAGUAUCAGGGAUUUGGGAUCGGGUUGACCCGAUUCCAAAAUACCCGGAUGGAUUACCGAUGUUUUGUCAAAUUGCAACUACUGAAGGAAAGUUAAUUGUUAUGGGUGGAUGGAAUCCGUCGAGCUGGGAUCCAAUUAAGGAUGUGUUUGUCUACGAUUUCAUGACUCGGAGAUGGAAUCAGUGUAUGGAUAUGCCGGAAGCUCGGUCUUUUUUCGCUAUGGGAGCUACCGGAGGACGAGUUUUCAUCGCCGGCGGUCACGAUGAGAGUAAGAACGCACUGAGUUCCGCUUGGGUUUUCGAUAUUUCGUCCAACGAGUGGACGGAAUUGCCUAGGAUGAGUGAGGAGCGAGAUGAGUGUGAAGGGGUUAUAAUCGGCUCAGAUUUCUGUGUCGUAAGUGGCUACGACACGGAAAAUCAAGGCCGAUUUAAAAGUAGUGCUGAGUUGUACGAACUCAGCACGGCUCAGUGGAGACGAGUUGAGGAUGCAUGGGGUUCGAGCCAGUGUCCUAGGGCAUGUGUGGGGGUGGGUAAAAAUGGAAAUUUAACUUGUUGGGCAGAAUCCGACCCGAAUGUGAAAGUCGGAGCAUGUGGUGUGGAUCUUGGUUAUCGGACCUUGGUUA
RNAcentral lists this unclassified non-coding RNA (936 nucleotides) under Hevea brasiliensis (rubber tree). The record is from RNAcentral. Lineage: Eukaryota; Viridiplantae; Streptophyta; Magnoliopsida; Malpighiales; Euphorbiaceae.